RNAcentral lists this transfer RNA (90 nucleotides) under Pseudomonas phage UAVern. Its description in RNAcentral is "tRNA-Ser". It matches the Rfam family "tRNA". Rfam says of the family: Transfer RNA (tRNA) molecules are approximately 80 nucleotides in length. Their secondary structure includes four short double-helical elements and three loops (D, anti-codon, and T loops). The record is from RNAcentral. Lineage: Duplodnaviria; Heunggongvirae; Uroviricota; Caudoviricetes; Vandenendeviridae.
AGCGAAUUGGCAGAGUGGCCGAUUGCAGCGGGUUGCUAACCCGUACUCUCCGCAAGGGGAGCGUAGGUUCGAAUCCUACAUUCGCUACCA